GCAGAGAUAGCCAAGCUGGUCAACGGCGUCGGACUCAAGAUCCGAUCUCAUAGGAGUACGUGCGUUCGAAUCGCACUCUCUGCA
RNAcentral lists this transfer RNA (84 nucleotides) under Promethearchaeota archaeon. RNAcentral's name for it is "Candidatus Lokiarchaeota archaeon (microbial mat metagenome) tRNA-Leu". It matches the Rfam family "tRNA". Rfam says of the family: Transfer RNA (tRNA) molecules are approximately 80 nucleotides in length. Their secondary structure includes four short double-helical elements and three loops (D, anti-codon, and T loops). Further hydrogen bonds mediate the characteristic L-shaped molecular structure. tRNAs have two regions of fundamental functional importance: the anti-codon, which is responsible for specific mRNA codon recognition, and the 3' end, to which the tRNAs corresponding amino acid is attached (by aminoacyl-tRNA synthetases). tRNAs cope with the degeneracy of the genetic code in two manners: having more than one tRNA (with a specific anti-codon) for a particular amino acid; and 'wobble' base-pairing, i.e. permitting non-standard base-pairing at the 3rd anti-codon position. The record is from RNAcentral. Lineage: Archaea; Promethearchaeati; Promethearchaeota.